Molecule: ribosomal RNA, 433 nt
Filed under: uncultured bacterium
Lineage: Bacteria
Description: partial 16S ribosomal RNA
Rfam family: Bacterial small subunit ribosomal RNA
Source: RNAcentral
AACGAACGCUGGCGGCAUGCCUAACACAUGCAAGUCGAACGAGACCUUCGGGUCUAGUGGCGCACGGGUGCGUAACGCGUGGUAACCUGCCCUUAGGUUCGGAAUAACUCCCCGAAAGGGGUGCUAAUACCGGAUAAUGUCUUCGGACCAAAGAUUUAUCGCCUUUGGAUGGGCCCGCGUUGGAUUAGCUAGUUGGUAGGGUAAAAGCCUACCAAGGCGACGAUCCAUAGCUGGUCUGAGAGGAUGAUCAGCCACACUGGGACUGAGACACGGCCCAGACUCCUACGGGAGGAAGAAGUGGGGAAUAUUGGAAAAUGGGCGAAAGCCUGAUCCAGCAAUGCCGCGUGAGUGAUGAAGGCCUUAGGGUUGUAAAGCUCUUUUACCCGGGAUGAUAAUGACAGUACCGGGAGAAUAAGCUCCGGCUAACUCCGUG